GCUUGACACGUCAGAUUAAUCAGAUGCUGCGUAUUAGAGAAUUGAGGUGGAUUUUGGGCUUUGUCUUUCGUUAGUUUAUCGUGGCCCAUGUCCCCAACCCUAAUCAUUCACUUCAAUUCACACGUCGUCCUCUUCGAAACCUCUGAACGAUGAUGCGGCGGUGGAGAUGAUUAAGAUCCGUAACGAGGAAUCGCCAGAAAAAGAUGUAGACAGAUGUGGCGGAAGCCUUAGACGUCGUUUAUUUUGUUUCGUCGAGAACCCCAUGAACCGGGCCAGCCAGUACCGGUCAUCUCUGAAGCUUCAGAUUAAGGUCGAUGAUAAGACCGGUUCAAAUCUCCGAUGCUUGCUUAAGACCUUUGGGUGUGGCUCCGCUAUGGCUUCUUCAUCUCCAUCAAAUGGGUGAAAGUCAAAGCUAUCAAGGAAAUCCUGACCAUUAUGAACACAUCUUUUGUACAAGGAUUACCAAGGAGACCAGAAACUCACUAUCACCACUUACUCUUCAACCGGUUUUUGAUAAAGUUGAUGUUUUUAGGCAAUCACUACAAGUGGAACAAACAGGGGAGAUUUGUUUGUGGGUAGUGUAGCUACCCAAGUCAAGAACAAGAACUUCACUGCUGAUAUCAAAGUUGCCUCUGAUUCUUCUAUCCUUACCACUUCACUGGUGAUGCUUUGUGUGUUUUGUUCUCAGGUGGAGCUCCAGUAUCUGCACACACAUGCUGGUGUUUCCACCAGUGUUGGAUUGACAGCAAACCCCGUUGUCAAUUUCUCCAGUUUGAUUGGAACCAGUGUCUUUGCUCUUGGUACCGAUGUGUCCUUUGAUACUGAAUCUUGAAACUUCAAACAUUUCAUUACUGGUGUGAGUCACUAAGGAUGAUCUGAUUGCUUCUCUUAAUCUGAAUGAAAAUGUGAGAGAUUGAAUGCAUCGUAUUACCACACUGUGAAUCCGUUGAAGAACACAGUGGUUAGAGCCCAGGUUAACUACAACUUGAAGAGCCAAGUGGACUCCAUAACCGUGGGUGCUCAGCACUCUCUUGACCCGUUGACCACAGUGAAGGCACCUGUUAACAAUGCAGGUAUAGCCAACGCGCUGAUCCAACACGAGUGGCGUCCAAAGCCGUUCAUUACCAUCUGUGGAGAGGUUGACUCUAGGGCGAUUGAGAAGAAUGCCAAGGUUGGGUUUACUAUUGCUCUCAAGCCUUGAGAAGAAUUCUAAUAUUUUGGACUAAUCUUUGUCUGUUUUUUAAAAAAAAAAUUGUUCAUUUGUUUUCUUUUUCUUCAAAAUAAGAAGAAAAAUACUAUGAAAGGAUAGUCUUGAAGAUGAUCCAUACAAGUCUCUUUCUUGAUUAUUUAAAUGCUUCAAAUUAUAAAAUUAGAUGUGUUUACUAAUUUAUAAACACUUU
Raphanus sativus (radish) is the source of this 1400-nucleotide RNA transcript. RefSeq lists it as uncharacterized. Lineage: Eukaryota; Viridiplantae; Streptophyta; Magnoliopsida; Brassicales; Brassicaceae. The record is from RefSeq and is a predicted model, not a curated record. The transcript has 7 exons.